This 442-nucleotide ribosomal RNA is filed under the name uncultured bacterium. RNAcentral's name for it is "partial 16S ribosomal RNA". It matches the Rfam family "Bacterial small subunit ribosomal RNA", at positions 338 to 795 of the family's 1533-position model. The record is from RNAcentral.
CCUACGGGUGGCAGCAGUGGGGGAUAUUGCACAAUGGGGGAAACCCUGAUGCAGCGACGCCGCGUGGGCGAAGAAGUAUUUCGGUAUGUAAAGCCCUAUCAGCAGGGAAGAAGAAAUGACGGUACCUGAGUAAGAAGCACCGGCUAAAUACGUGCCAGCAGCCGCGGUAAUACGUAUGGUGCAAGCGUUAUCCGGAUUUACUGGGUGUAAAGGGAGCGCAGGCGGCACGGCAAGCCUGAUGUGAAAGCCCGCGGCCCAACCGCGGGACUGCAUUGGGAACUACCGGGCUGGAGUGCCGGAGAGGUAGGCGGAAUUCCUAGGGUAGCGGUGAAAUGCGUAGAUAUUAGGAGGAACACCAGUGGCGAACGCAGCUUACCAAUCUAUAUCUGACGUUGAGGCACGAAAGCGUGGGGAGCAAACAGGAUUAGAUACCCUAGUAGUC